Molecule: ribosomal RNA, 1245 nt
Filed under: metagenome
Description: bacterial LSU rRNA
Rfam family: Bacterial large subunit ribosomal RNA
Source: RNAcentral
UGAAUACGAGACGCUAAGGCGUCGAAGUAGUGUAUGUCAUACUUCCAAGAAAAGCUUGCACUGUCAUAGAUAAAAAACGCCUGUACCAUAACCGACACAGGUGGGUAGGUAGAGCAUACUAAGGGGCGCGAGAUAACUCUCUCUAAGGAACUCGGCAAAAUAACUCCGUAACCUCGGGAGAAGGAGUGCCUUAUUCGUAAGGUUGCAAUAACAAGAUCCAAGCAACUGUUUAUCAAAAACACAGGUCUCCGCUAAGUCGUAAGACGAUGCAUGGGGGCUGACGCCUGCCCAGUGCCAGAAGGUUAAAGAAGUUGGUUAGCAAUUGCGAAGCUGAUAACUGAAGCCCUGGUGAACGGCGGCCGUAACUAUAACGGUCCUAAGGUAGCGAAAUUCCUUGUCGGGUAAGUUCCGACCCGCACGAAAGGCGUAAUGAUUUGGAUACUGUCUCGGAGAGGGGCUCGGUGAAAUAGACUUGUCUCUGAAGAUGCGGACUACCUGCACCAGGACAGAAAGACCCUAUGAAGCUUUACUGUAACUUGAAAUUGAAAUUGGACUUUAUUCGCGCAGUAUAGGUGGGAGGCGUUGAUUAUAAUCUUGUGGGAUUAUUGGAGCCAUCAGUGAGAUACCACCCUUGUAAUGUUAGAUUUCUAACUUUGAAUCAUUAUCUGGUCAAAGAACAGUUUCAGGCGGGCAGUUUGACUGGGGCGGUCGCCUCCUAAACGGUAACGGAGGCGUACAAAGGUUUCCUCUGAACGGUUAGAAAUCGUAUCUAGAGUGUAAAGGCAUAAGGAAGCUUGACUGUGAGACCUACAAGUCGAGCAGGGACGAAAGUCGGUCUUAGUGAUCUGACGGUACUGAGUGGAAAGGCCGUCACUCAACGGAUAAAAGUUACUCUAAGGAUAACAGGCUGAUCUCCCCCAAGAGUUCACAUCGACAGGGAGGUUUGGCACCUCGAUGUCGGCUCAUCGCAUCCUGGGGCGGUAGUACGUCCCAAGGGUUGGGCUGUUCGCCCAUGAAAGCGGUACGCGAGCUGGGUUCAGAACGUCGUGAGACAGUUCGGUCCAUAUCCGGUGUAGGCGUUAGAAUAUUGAGAGGAGCCUUCUUUAGUACGAGAGGACCGAGAAGGACAUACCUCUGGUGUACCAGUUAUCGUGCCGACGGUAAACGCUGGGUAGCUAUGUAUGGAGUGGAUAACCGCUGAAAGCAUCUAAGUGGGAAGCCCACCUCAAGAUAAGUAUUCUCAUC